UAAUAUUAUAUGCAAAUUUUUGUGUGAUUGUUUUAUCUCUUAAAGAGAAUUAUUUUUGUAUUUGCAGUUGUUUAUUUUGUUUUUCUUAGCAAUAAGGAAACAGUUAAUUUUAUUAGAAUUGUUUAAGGUUGUGCCAGCAAACGCGGUUACACAAUCAAUUCAAGUUAAUUUUUUU
This 175-nucleotide ribosomal RNA is filed under the name Liorhyssus sp. CMF 0678. RNAcentral's name for it is "partial small subunit ribosomal RNA". Lineage: Eukaryota; Metazoa; Arthropoda; Insecta; Hemiptera; Rhopalidae. The record is from RNAcentral.